This 429-nucleotide ribosomal RNA is filed under the name uncultured archaeon. Its description in RNAcentral is "bacterial SSU rRNA". It matches the Rfam family "Archaeal small subunit ribosomal RNA", at positions 474 to 903 of the family's 1478-position model. The record is from RNAcentral.
CACCAGCCCCUCGAGUGGUGGGGAUGAUUAUUUGGCCUAAAGCGUCCGUAGCCGGCCGGGUAAGUCUCCCGUUAAAUCCAACGUCUCAAGCGUUGGACUGCGGGAGAUACUGCCUGGCUAGAGAGUGGGAGAGGUCAGCGGUAUUCUGGGGGUAGGGGCGAAAUCCUUUGAUCCCCGGAGGACCACCAGUGGCGAAGGCUGCUGACUAGAACACGUCUGACGGUCAGGGACGAAAGCUGGGGUAGCGAACCGGAUUAGAUACCCGGGUAGUCCCAGCCGUAAACGAUGCAUGCUAGGUGUUGGGUUGGCCACGAGCCACCCCAGUGCCGCAGGGAAGCCGUUAAGCAUGCCGCCUGGGAAGUACGAUCGCAAGAUUGAAACUUAAAGGAAUUGGGCGGGGAGCACCACCAGGCGUGAAGCCUGCGGUUU